AAAUUCAGCUACUGGAAUAAUCAUCAAAUGGGGAGAGAAAAAUCCCUGCCCAGGCUGAAGGUGAGAGCAGCUGGGAAAUGCAGCACCAGCCUACAGGAGCCAGGGUGCUGGGCCUGAGUGAGCAGAGGAAACAAGAGGAGUCAUGAAGCACCAUCUGCAUUUGGAAGAACUGAGAAGCUUUUAAAAUUUUGUCACAAGCCUAAUGAUGGCCUCACCUGUGCCUGCCUCUCUGAGCACCUCAGCUGAGCCUGGAACAUCUUUCUUGGGAUCCAGACAUUGCCAGUUACUAAUAAAUGACAACAGCAAUCUUUUCUUCCCAAGGAGAAUGGGCCAAAU
Long non-coding RNA from Passer domesticus (house sparrow), 336 nucleotides. RefSeq lists it as uncharacterized. The transcript has 2 exons. The record is from RefSeq and is a predicted model, not a curated record. NCBI's taxonomy places the organism in Eukaryota, Metazoa, Chordata, Aves, Passeriformes, Passeridae.